Long non-coding RNA from Myxocyprinus asiaticus (Chinese sucker), 1486 nucleotides. RefSeq lists it as uncharacterized. The transcript is spliced from 4 exons. Lineage: Eukaryota; Metazoa; Chordata; Actinopteri; Cypriniformes; Catostomidae. The record is from RefSeq and is a predicted model, not a curated record.
UGAUCUCUCACUCGUUGUUCACUCAAGUUUUAUAGAAAUGUGACAAAUGGCUGGUAAUGUUUCUAAAAUAUUUGCACAUGUAAAAUGCCUUAAGCAUCUGUAAUGUACAUACACAAAGUAUAAUGACUUUAAUAUUACAAGUAUUACUAUUACACAAAUUAUCACUCUCCUUAAAAUGUGUUUACAUGUUGAAAGUAAAUUACAACAUUAUUUGAGGAUGAAUAAAUUGGUUAAAAAAAAUAAAAAUAAAAAAAUGCCACAGAGAAACUGGUUAAAAUAGCAAAUGUCAAUAUUUAUAUUUAUUUUAUCAGAAUCAUUAUUUGAUUUGGUCAAAUUCCACUUUUCCCCCCAACUCAUUUGUACUUAAAACAUUGUUGUACAUGAAACAUGUUUCUGUGUUUUAGAAAAUGAACCAUGUUCAGCACUCUUCCAUGUGGUGUUUGUCUGCAAUAUUCUAAUUUUGCUCUUCAGUGGAACAGUGAACAUAAUUCUAUGUGAAAGACUGAGAAGAAAAUGUGAACAGUGUGCUGCACAGCAGAGACGGGUUCAACACACUCCGUUGGACGGUGACCCACCUCAACCAAAUCACUCUAAUGAUCAAGAUAUUGUGGACCUGAACUACACAAUGCUACAGUUUCCUGGGGACAACACAAACACAGAGGGCUCUGUGAGUGUGCAGAGAGAGAAUAAAAUAAAGGACACAGUGUAUUCCAGCCUAAAAUGUAAAAUCUCAAACAUUACUGAUGAGAACUAAUUUAUUUUUUAUAAAUUUUUUUUUUUUUUUUAUUGUUUAAAGACUGUUGACACAUGACAUGAUUGGACUGAAAUAAGUAUUUAUAUUAAAUUGUUUAAUUACCUAAGACUUGGAAAAUAUGGUGUUCCUUAUCUUCAACAGAAUUCCAUCAACCAUACAGGUUGCAUCAUAUAGAUUAUGGGCUUCACAUUAAGCUUUUCCAGAUAUUAGUCUUUAAAACUGAUUGUUUACAUGUCUGAAAGCCUACGUCACUGGCCCAAAAACAGUUUAAUAGUAUUAAGUGUAUUUUUUUUAUCUUUAUUUUUUAUUAUGUUGAAUAUAAUAGUAUUAUUCAAUGUUGUAUUUCUAUCUUGAUUUCAUCACUUUUACUCAACAUUGCAAGGCUAUGUGAUAGAACCCUCGAGCCUUCAUUUUAGAAAUGCUCUAAUUUCAAAGUAAAUUGAACCCUCCACAAUUCAUCCCUAAACUGUGUGAUGUCUAGUACAAAGAGUGAUGCUGUUAAAACCUAGUUCAGAUGGCAAAUCAAAUACAGAUCACAUUAUUAUUUUUGUAAAUCCUUUUUACACAGAGACUUACCACUUAAACUGUAACCUCAGGAGUGUGGUUAAAAUGUGCAAGAGUAAUUUCACCCCUUUUGCUAAUUUCUAAUUGGUAAAACAACAGGUGUCCAACCUUUAUUAUUAUUAUUGGGGGUUAGAUGCAGAAAAAAAAUAAAAAAUAAAAUGUGUCAUG